This 72-nucleotide transfer RNA is filed under the name Candidatus Berkelbacteria bacterium. Its description in RNAcentral is "tRNA-OTHER". It matches the Rfam family "tRNA". From Rfam's summary of the family: Transfer RNA (tRNA) molecules are approximately 80 nucleotides in length. Their secondary structure includes four short double-helical elements and three loops (D, anti-codon, and T loops). Lineage: Bacteria; Candidatus Berkelbacteria. The record is from RNAcentral.
AGGGACAUGCCUCAGGCAGAGCGCCUCCUGACAGGGAGGAAGAUGAGGGUUCAAGCCCCUCUGCCCCCGCCA